UACGUAGGGACCAAGCGUUGUUCGGAUUUACUGGGCGUAAAGGGUGCGUAGGUGGCGCCGUAAGUCAGGUGUGAAAUUUCGGAGCUUAACUCCGAAACUGCAUUUGAUACUGCGGUGCUUGAGGACUGGAGAGGAGACUGGAAUUUACGGUGUAGCAGUGAAAUGCGUAGAGAUCGUAAGGAAGACCAGUGGCGAAGGCGGGUCUCUGGACAGUUCCUGACACUGAGGCACGAAGGCCAGGGGAGCAAACGGG
This 253-nucleotide ribosomal RNA is filed under the name uncultured bacterium. Its description in RNAcentral is "partial 16S ribosomal RNA". It matches the Rfam family "Bacterial small subunit ribosomal RNA", at positions 524 to 776 of the family's 1533-position model. The record is from RNAcentral.